This 477-nucleotide ribosomal RNA is filed under the name uncultured bacterium. Its description in RNAcentral is "bacterial SSU rRNA". It matches the Rfam family "Bacterial small subunit ribosomal RNA", at positions 35 to 507 of the family's 1533-position model. The record is from RNAcentral.
GCUGGCGGCAGGCUUAACACAUGCAAGUCGAGCGGUAGCAGAUCUAGCUUGCUAGAUGCUGACGAGCGGCGGACGGGUGAGUAACGCGUAGGAACCUGACCCAGUAGUGGGGGAUAGCCCGGGGAAACUCGGAUUAAUACCGCAUACGCUCUACGAGGAAAGAGGGGCUUCGGCUCUCGCUAUUGGAUGGGCCUGCGGGAGAUUAGCUAGUUGGUGAGGUAAAUGGCUCACCAAGGCGACGAUCUCUAGCUGGUCUGAGAGGAUGAUCAGCCACACUGGGACUGAGACACGGCCCAGACUCCUACGGGAGGCAGCAGUGGGGAAUACUGCACAAUGGGCGCAAGCCUGAUGCAGCCAUGCCGCGUGUGUGAAGAAGGCUUUCGGGUUGUAAAGCACUUUCAGUGGGGAGGAAGGCCUCGUAGUUAAUAGCUGCGAGGAUUGACGUUACCCACAGAAGAAGCACCGGCUAACUCCGUG